AUUGAACGCUGGCGGCAGGCUUAACACAUGCAAGUCGAGCGGGGUGAUGGUGCUUGCACUAUCACUUAGCGGCGGACGGGUGAGUAAUGCUUAGGAAUCUGCCUAUUAGUGGGGGACAACAUCUCGAAAGGGAUGCUAAUACCGCAUACGUCCUACGGGAGAAAGCAGGGGAUCACUUGUGACCUUGCGCUAAUAGAUGAGCCUAAGUCGGAUUAGCUAGUUGGUGGGGUAAAGGCCUACCAAGGCGACGAUCUGUAGCGGGUCUGAGAGGAUGAUCCGCCACACGGGGACUGAGACACGGCGCAGGCUCCUACGGGAGGCAGCAGUGGGGAAUAUUGGACAAUGGGGGGAACCCUGAUCCAGCCAUGCCGCGUGUGUGAAGAAGGCCUUAUGGUUGUAAAGCACUUUAAGCGAGGAGGAGGCUCUUUUGGUUAAUACCCAAGAUGAGUGGACGUUACUCGCAGAAUAAGCACCGGCUAACUCUGUGCCAGCCGCCGCCGUAA
This 503-nucleotide ribosomal RNA is filed under the name uncultured bacterium. RNAcentral describes it as "partial 16S ribosomal RNA". It matches the Rfam family "Bacterial small subunit ribosomal RNA", at positions 30 to 523 of the family's 1533-position model. The record is from RNAcentral.